RNAcentral lists this ribosomal RNA (38 nucleotides) under Houttuynia cordata (chameleon-plant). RNAcentral describes it as "partial 26S ribosomal RNA". Lineage: Eukaryota; Viridiplantae; Streptophyta; Magnoliopsida; Piperales; Saururaceae. The record is from RNAcentral.
GCGACCCCAAGUCAGGUGGGAUCACCCGCUGAAUUUAA